UCAGUUAAGUCACCUACUGCAAUUGGAAUUGAACCACUAAGCUGAUUAUCAGACAAUUCCAAAUCAGUGAGGUCUUUCAAAUUCCCCAACUCACUAGGAAUGGGACCAGAAAGUUGGUUAGAAUGAAGGUACAAACUCUUGAGUUUGGUUAAGUCUCCUACAACAGUUGGAAUUGAACCACUAAGAUGAUUAUGAGACAAUUCCAAAUCAGUGAGGUCUUUCAAAUUCCCCAACUCACUAGGAAUGGGACCAGAAAGUUGGUUAGAAUGAAGGUACAAACUCUUGAGUUUGGUUAAGUCUCCUACAACAGUUGGAAUUGAACCACUAAGAUGAUUAUCAGACAAUUCCAAAUCAGUGAGGUCUUUCAAAUUCCCCAACUCACUAGGAAUGGGACCAGAAAGUUGGUUAGAAUAAAGGUACAGACUUUUGAGCUCAGUUAAGUCACCUACUGCAAUUGGAAUUGAACCACUAAGCUGAUUAUCAGACAAUGACAAAUCAGUGAGUUUUUUCAAAUUCCCCAACUCACUAGGAAUGGGACCAGAAAGUUGGUUAGAAUAAAGGUACAGACUUUUGAGCUCAGUUAAGUCACCUACUGCAAUUGGAAUUGAACCACUAAGCUGAUUAUCAGACAAUGCCAAAUCAGUGAGUUUUUUCAAAUUCCCCAACUCACUAGGAAUGGGACCAGAAAGUUGGUUAGAAUAAAGGUACAGACUUUUGAGCUCAGUUAAGUCACCUACUGCAAUUGGAAUUGAACCAGUAAGCUGAUUAUGAGACAAUGCCAAAUCAUUGAG
RNAcentral lists this long non-coding RNA (791 nucleotides) under Capsicum annuum. Its description in RNAcentral is "long non-coding RNA (CANN_LNC006320)". Lineage: Eukaryota; Viridiplantae; Streptophyta; Magnoliopsida; Solanales; Solanaceae. The record is from RNAcentral.